AACGUAGGACGCGAGCGUUAUCCGGAGUUACUGGGCGUAAAGCGCGGGCAGGCGGUCUGACAAGUCUGAUGUGAAAUCUCCGGGCUUAACCGGGAGAGGCCAUUGGAAACUGACAGGCUGGAGGGCAGUAGAGGUAGGCGGAAUUCCGGGUGGAGUGGUGAAAUGCGUAGAGAUCCGGAGGAACACCAGAGGCGAAGGCGGCCUACUGGGCUGCACCUGACGCUGAGGAGCGAAAGUGUGGGGAGCGAACAGG
RNAcentral lists this ribosomal RNA (253 nucleotides) under uncultured bacterium. RNAcentral describes it as "partial 16S ribosomal RNA". It matches the Rfam family "Bacterial small subunit ribosomal RNA", at positions 524 to 776 of the family's 1533-position model. The record is from RNAcentral.